Gasterosteus aculeatus aculeatus (three-spined stickleback) is the source of this 520-nucleotide non-coding RNA. Lineage: Eukaryota; Metazoa; Chordata; Actinopteri; Perciformes; Gasterosteidae. The record is from RefSeq and is a predicted model, not a curated record.
AGCGCGGCUCACUACCUGUACACGCGCAACCACCCGGUGGACUACUUCAUCCUGCUGCUGCAGGGUCGCGUGGAGGUGGAGAUCGGGAAGGAGGGGCUGAAGUUCGAGAACGGAGCGUUCACGUACUACGGCGUGUCCGCGCUGACGCUGCCCUCUUCAGGUGACUCGUCUCCAGUACCUGAACGCUCUCAUGGCGUCGCGGGUCGGUCACAGUCCAGAUCCUCCAGAGAUUAAGAUCCUGCCCAACAGUCAGACCAAGCUGCUCAACGACAGAAACUCACAGCCAGGUACGUUUCUCCACCGUCCUCCUGGAACCAACACCAGCGACAACGUGUCCACCAAACCGCUGUGAAUCAGGACGCAGGUCUUUUAUUCUACGAUUUCCUCUCUUUAUAAAGGAAAGCUUAGUGGACUUAAAAUAUGAAGCGUGCAUGUUAGAGAGCUGUCAAUCACAGUAAGCCCCGCCCUAAAGCAUCCCCUGCUUCAUGGUCUAUUAGAGACCUGUCAAUCACUUUAAGCC